CUGCGAGUGAGGAGGAAAGAGUCCAAGGUGGAAAGAUAGUUCGCUAUCGUUGUGCCUCGACCGGUUAACUGGUGAACGGAAUAUCAAGUCUGUUGGAACACAGCACCAAAGAGGGUGAGAGUCCCGUAUGUAUAUUCUUCAUUCAUCUCUACGUUGCCGGCUCAAAGAGUCGUGUUGCUUGGGAGUGCAGCACAAAUGGGUGGUACGUGCCAUCCAAGACUAAAUACCGUUGGGAGACCGAUAGCAUAAAAGUACCGUGAGGGAAAGAUGCAAAGCACUCGGAAACGAGGGUGAAAAGAGAUUGAAAUCGUGGAAAGUGAAGCAUAGGGCUGUAAUAUGGUAUACCGACUGUUUCAGUUUGUGUUCCUACCGAUGUCGUUGGUUACUGUGAGAGAAGUCUGUCUUGCGAGUAGGUGCCUAGAUUACUGGCCUGCCUGUGUGAUUGAUGAUUGUCUUGGUUUUCAACGUUAAAGUUGUUCUGAAUACGUGUAU
This 492-nucleotide ribosomal RNA is filed under the name uncultured Candida. RNAcentral's name for it is "eukaryotic LSU rRNA". It matches the Rfam family "Eukaryotic large subunit ribosomal RNA", at positions 87 to 602 of the family's 3401-position model. The record is from RNAcentral. Lineage: Eukaryota; Fungi; Ascomycota; Saccharomycetes; Saccharomycetales.